CAGUAGCCACGGUAAAACGGAGGGGGCUAGCGUUGUUCGGAAUUACUGGGCGUAAAGCGCACGUAGGCGGCUUGGUAAGUUAGAGGUGAAAGCCUGGAGCUCAACUCCAGAAUUGCCUUUAAGACUGCCGAGCUAGCAGGUGAGAGAGGUAAGUGGAAUUCCGAGUGUAGAGGUGAAAUUCGUAGAUAUUCGGAAGAACACCAGUGGCGAAGGCGGCUUACUGGCUCAUACUGGACGCUGAGGUGCGAAAGCGUGGGGAGCAAACAGGAUUAGAUACCCGUGUAGUCCCUGUCUCUUAUAA
This 301-nucleotide ribosomal RNA is filed under the name uncultured bacterium. RNAcentral's name for it is "partial 16S ribosomal RNA". It matches the Rfam family "Bacterial small subunit ribosomal RNA", at positions 509 to 809 of the family's 1533-position model. The record is from RNAcentral.